UAGAGUUUGAUCCUGGCUCAGGAUGAACGCUAGCGGGAGGCUUAACACAUGCAAGUCGAGGGGUAAGGCUCUUUCGGGAGUACGCGACCGGCGCACGGGUGAGUAACGCGUAUGCAACCUGCCUCUAACAGGGGGAUAGCCCAGAGAAAUUUGGAUUAAUACCCCAUAAUAUCAAGAAUUCGCAUGUUUUCUUGAUUAAAGCUCCGGCGGUUAGAGAUGGGCAUGCGUGCCAUUAGCUUGUUGGUAAGGUAACGGCUUACCAAGGCAACGAUGGCUAGGGGGUCUUAAAGGAUGGUCCCCCACACUGGUACUGAGACACGGACCAGACUCCUACGGGAGGCAGCAGUGAGGAAUAUUGGGCAAUGGACGCAAGUCUGACCCAGCCAUCCCGCGUGCAGGAUGACAGCCCUAUGGGUCGUAAACUGCUUUUGUACAGGAAGAAAAAUCCCUACGUGUAGGGAACUGACGGUACUGUACGAAUAAGCAUCGGCUAACUCCGUGCCAGUAGCCGCGGUAAUACGGAGGAUGCAAGCGUUAUCCGGAUUCAUUAGGUUUAAAGGGUGCGUAGGCGGAAUUUUAAGUCAGUGGUGAAAUCUUGCAGCUUAACUGUAAAAUUGCCAUUGAAACUGAAGUUCUUGAGUAUAGUUGAGGUAGGCGGAAUGUGUCAUGUAGCGGUGAAAUGCUUAGAGAUGACACAGAACACCGAUUGCGAAGGCAGCUUACUAAGCUAUCACUGACGCUGAGGCACGAAAGCGUGGGGAGCGAACAGGAUUAGAUACCCUGGUAGUCCACGCUGUAAACGAUGAUCACUCGUUGUUGGCAAUACAUCGUCAGCGACUGAGCGAAAGCAUUAAGUGAUCCACCUGGGGAGUACGUUGGCAACAAUGAAACUCAAAGGAAUUGACGGGGGCCCGCACAAGCGGAGGAACAUGUGGUUUAAUUCGAUGAUACGCGAGGAACCUUACCUGGGCUUAAAUGUAGAUUGACCUCUCGGGAAACUGAGAUUCUCUUCGGAGCAAUUUACAAGGUGCUGCAUGGUUGUCGUCAGCUCGUGCCGUGAGGUGUCGGGUUAAGUCCCAUAACGAGCGCAACCCCUAUUGUUAGUUGCUAGCAGGUAAUGCUGGGGACUCUAACGAGACUGCCGGUGUAAACCGUGAGGAAGGUGGGGAUGACGUCAAAUCAGCACGGCCCUUAUGUCCAGGGCUACACACGUGUUACAAUGGCCAGUACAGAAGGCAGCUACCUGGUGACAGGACGCUAAUCCCGAAAACUGGUCUCAGUUCGGAUCGAAGUCUGCAAUUCGACUUCGUGAAGUUGGAUUCGCUAGUAAUCGCGCAUCAGCCAUGGCGCGGUGAAUACGUUCCCGGGCCUUGUACACACCGCCCGUCAAGCCAUGGAAGCUGGGGGUGCCUGAAGUCCGUAACCGCAAGGAGCGGCCUAAGGUAAAACCGGUGACUGGGGCUAAGUCGUAACAAGGUAACC
Molecule: ribosomal RNA, 1482 nt
Filed under: uncultured bacterium
Lineage: Bacteria
Description: bacterial SSU rRNA
Rfam family: Bacterial small subunit ribosomal RNA
Source: RNAcentral